This 498-nucleotide ribosomal RNA is filed under the name uncultured bacterium. Its description in RNAcentral is "bacterial SSU rRNA". It matches the Rfam family "Bacterial small subunit ribosomal RNA", at positions 24 to 518 of the family's 1533-position model. The record is from RNAcentral.
UCAGGAUGAACGCUAGCGGCAGGCUAACACAUGCAAGUCGAGGGGCAUCGGGAGUAGCAAUACUUGCCGGCGACCGGCGCAAGGGUGCGUAACGCGUGAGCAACAUGCCCGUAUCAGGGGGAUAAUCCAUGGAAACGUGGUCUAAUACCCCAUAGUAAUUAUGUAAGGCAUCUUAUAUAAUUUAAAGCUUUGGUGGAUACGGAUUGGCUCGCGUGACAUUAGCUGGAUGGUAAGGUAACGGCUUACCAUGGCUACGAUGUCUAGGGGUUCUGAGAGGAAGGUCCCCCACACUGGAACUGAGACACGGUCCAGACUCCUACGGGAGGCAGCAGUGAGGAAUAUUGGACAAUGGAUGGAAAUCUGAUCCAGCCAUGCCGCGUGCAGGAAGACGGCCCUAUGGGUUGUAAACUGCUUUUGUAUGGGAGCAAUAAGGGCUACGUGUAGUCCGAUGAGAGUACCAUACGAAUAAGCACCGGCUAACUCCGUGCCAGCCGCCGC